AUUCAAGUAGCUUAUAAAUAGAGCAUGACACUGAAGAUGUUAGGGAGAUUAAUGUAAUCUUUGAAUA
Molecule: transfer RNA, 67 nt
Filed under: Pteronarcys princeps (ebony salmonfly)
Lineage: Eukaryota; Metazoa; Arthropoda; Insecta; Plecoptera; Pteronarcyidae
Also listed under: 1 other name
Description: tRNA-Phe
Source: RNAcentral